Molecule: long non-coding RNA, 1114 nt
Organism: Helicoverpa zea (corn earworm)
Lineage: Eukaryota; Metazoa; Arthropoda; Insecta; Lepidoptera; Noctuidae
Exons: 3
Source: RefSeq, a predicted model, not a curated record
UUUCAAUCGGUCUGAUACCGGCUAAAUACCCGAUCUCUGUAAAGUGCGUACUAUCAUUCAUCUUCAUACUAAUUGAUGAGCCCAAGCAAACCAUCGGCCGGCUAAAAAUCUGCAGUAUGCUUAUACUCUUACCCCUUCACAAUAUUAGCCAGACAUCCUUUGUUCUCAUCAACCCUUCGCAAAAACAUAGCUAGAUGCAUCUUAGUGCUCCCGUCUGGUAUUGAUCGUGACCUGCGCAGUGCAGUUAGAGCUUUCUAGACCAGACUUCCCUUUGUCUGAGUAUCCAGUGCGUCGCCCGACGUCUGCCGUGCAUCACGUGUGACUCCUCGAAGCUGGUGCAGUCUUCAACAGCAUUUUUCUUAUCAUUUAUAAUGAAGAUUUCUGAUCGCAUAGCAGCUUCAUUUCGCAUUUAAAGAUGGCGCCCGUGGCAGCCAUCUUGGAUCCGGCCUGUGGCAGCAUGGCUGACUUUCGAAACAUAUUUCAGAAAGAUUGGAGUUACAUCUUCAAGAAAAUGAUGUACCAGCUUGCAUUCUCUCCACACGUGGCGUUGCUCCGGCGCGUGGCACGCGGCGCCACUUGAGCGCGCUGCGACGGGGCGCAAGUGGCGCCACCAACACCUGAAGCGCCAAAGUCAACCUCACCUGCACGCGGCGCGCCCUGCUCACACCGACGAGGCUCUGACGACUCCCUGUUUCCUCUAUAUGAUAUAGAGAGGAUGCAGUUUUGGAUAUUAUCACUAAUCAGAACAUACUUGGACUUAACAUCAGAAAUUUAAUAUCUAAAGCAUCAUCUUAUCUUACAUAUAGUGGAAGUAGGGACGAAAAGGCAAGAAUGGAUUCAAACUUAUCAUCGCUUGAUUCCGUUCUUGGCCCAAAAUAAUAGGUUCAUUCAAUUUCUAUAAUUCAAUGCGCUUAUUGAUAAAGAAAAUCAUGAUAGAAAUAAUAUUGUAAGAGUUAAGUGGGAAUGCCAGAAAUUCAAACGAUUCUUUUCUAAUAUAUAAGGGGCAACUGUAUAUUGUAUAUAAGUAAUUAAGGGACUGUAUAAUAUAGGUGUAAGUGUUGUUAGGCUUAAACUACCAAUUUACACUAAUUAAUACAUUAUAUGUGAAACCCAA